GUUAGGAAUAUUGGACAAUGGGCGCAAGCCUGAUCCAGCCAUGCCGCGUGAACGAUGAAGGCCUUCGGGUUGUAAAGUUCUUUAGCCGAUGAUUAUAAUGACUGUAGUCGGAAAAUAAGCCCCGGCUAACUUCGUGCCAGCAGCCGCGGUAAUACGAAGGGGGCGAGCGUUAUUCGGAAUCACUGGGCGUAAAGCGUGCGUAGGCGGUCUCGUAAGUUAGGAGUGAAAGCCCAGGGCUCAACCUUGGAAUUGCUCUUAAAACUGCAAGGCUAGAAUCUCGGAGAGGAUAGCGGAAUUUCCAGUGUAGCAGGGAAAUGCGUAGAUAUUGGAAGGAACACCAGUGGCGUAAGCGGCUAUCUGGACGAGUAUUGACGCUGAGGCACGAAAGCGUGGGGAUCAAACAGGAUUAGAUACCCCGGUAGUCC
RNAcentral lists this ribosomal RNA (425 nucleotides) under uncultured bacterium. RNAcentral's name for it is "partial 16S ribosomal RNA". It matches the Rfam family "Bacterial small subunit ribosomal RNA", at positions 354 to 796 of the family's 1533-position model. The record is from RNAcentral.